Molecule: long non-coding RNA, 1481 nt
Filed under: Brassica rapa (field mustard)
Lineage: Eukaryota; Viridiplantae; Streptophyta; Magnoliopsida; Brassicales; Brassicaceae
Description: long non-coding RNA (BRAP_LNC001140)
Source: RNAcentral
AUAUUGUAUUUGAUCUGCAUCGAACCCAAGCGUCAAUAACGACCGUAAUUUACAAACAACUCUGUACUUAUAAAACUUUUUUUUGUAACAUACAAUACAUAUUCUCAUGGAUACACUUCAUAACGUGUUCAUGUGAUGAGUAUUCUGAGUUACCUCAAGGUAUUCGUCCAGACCAUACUUGGAUCCUUCCUUUCCAAGACCAGACUGCUUCACUCCCUAUUUAGAAUAUUUUUAGGAAGUUAAAAUAAUUCAAAUAUUUUUAGAAUAUUUUUCUAACUGAAAUUUCCUAAAUUUUCGUAAAAAUCAGAUUUUCUUAUCCAUAGAAGGCACUUUCUACACUGCGUAGAACGAAGAUAAAAACUCCGUAAGCAGAUUCUACCUCAUGUAACCGUCAGAGUAGUGUCUAGAUUUAACAUGCCGGGAGUUGUAGAAUACGUAAUAAAAGUAGAAACUGCAUUUGACAGAAACAGAAAAGUAAUUUUUUUACCAUUAGUAGAAUUCACAUUCUCCCUAUUUAGAAUUUUAAGUAAAAGUAGAUUGUUCGUUCUAAAAAUAGUAGACGAACUUAUUUAGUCUAGAAUUCCCUUUCUACUAACUCAUUUUCAGUAGAAGAUAAAUUCUACCUUUAGUAGAACGUAAUUUUAAUAUUUAAUUUAUCAAGUUUUUCAACCAAAAAUAAUAAUAUGAAUUUGUAUAUAUGGAUGUUUUAUCAAUUGUUUCUAUUCUUUACAAUUUUUUAUUUAUUUAUAAGACUAUUUAUUUCAUUAACUUUUAGAAUUGGAAAAGGCAAAAGAGAAAAAAAAUAGAUAAAAAAGUGUUUAUACUAAAGGUACAACCAUACUGAAUUUUUGUUUCGUUUUGGUAAUUUUGCCAAGUAUUUAUAUAAUAAGAUACUGAUGUAGAAAACAAAAUACAUCGACGCGUAGGAAUUUCUAAUAAUUGUCAGCAAAGAACAAGACUGCUCUCUUUUAGACUUUUAGUAUAUACGAAGCAGCAAAUUUGGUCCGAGUAUUACACAAAAAUUCACUUGAAAACAAAGAUCAAAACCAAAAAAAUUAUUCAAAGAUCAAAACCAAAACAAAGAUCAAAACCAUAUGCUAUUUUAACAUUGGUCGUAGACCAAAUCUUUAUUUUUUAACACGUAACCUCCAAAUCCUUAUUAUACCUCAAUGUAAGAAGAACAAAAAAAAACACAAAAGCUCAGCGUUUAUUGGAAGGAUAUGUAAGUGGAGGAGGAACUUACAGUUUCAAACCAAAUCACUCUGUUCAUAUUGUAUUUGAUCUGCAUCGAACCCAAGCGUCAAUAACGACCGUAAUUUACAAACAACUCUGUACUUAUAAAACUUUUUUUUGUAACAUACAAUACAUAUUCUCAUGGAUACACUUCAUAACGUGUUCAUGUGAUGAGUAUUCUGAGUUACCUCAAGGUAUUCGUCCAGACCAUACUUGGAUCCUUCCUUUCCAAGACCAGACUGCUUCAC